Molecule: long non-coding RNA, 3470 nt
Organism: Corvus hawaiiensis (hawaiian crow)
Lineage: Eukaryota; Metazoa; Chordata; Aves; Passeriformes; Corvidae
Exons: 3
Source: RefSeq, a predicted model, not a curated record
AAAUGGUGGUGGGUGACCACUGGAGUCCCCUUGGAGAGAGGCAGAGCUUCAUCACUGCUCUAUCAUCUCAGGUGGACUGACAGAAGUCUUGGUCUUGUUUCAGGCUCCUGGAAGAUGUGGUCACCUGCUUCAUGCUCUGAUCAGCAACUUGCAAGGAAGUAACACCAAGGCAAAAAAUACUUCUGGACCUGACCUUCCUCUUGCCAAGGCUGGAUGGAUCAGUUGGGUUCUGGGAAAGGAUUUCCUCCCUAAUCUGCUACGGCUUUCUUGUGGCCACUGCUCUGAGAGGCCUAUGUGUAUUAAAAGUGGCAUGUCCCUGUUAGAACCACUGGGGAGAUUUGACUGGAAUAAGCUAGAAACAGGGAUAAGAAUGCUGGUUUAAAGCCAAGAUUUAGGAAUGAGGGGCUUAAACACAGGAGAUUUGAGGCAGAGCACGGAGUAGUUCGGACGAGGGAAACAUGGCUGAAGAGCAAGACAGAGCUAGACACGGGUGCUUACUUUUAUAUUAACCAGUUCAAAAAGGGGAUGGUGGCACAGCUGAAAUGUGUCAAAAUAAUAUUCAUUUUUUCCCCAGUUAAUUCCCAACACAAAUUAACCUCAGUCAUUUUCCUCUUCCCUCUUAGACACACUCUAUUUGUCAAGCCAUGUUGCCUUAACACUUCCCAGCCAUCUGGGAUAAAUUUAGCCUGCCCAAGAAAAAAGUGCAACAUGGCAGCCCUUGGAUGAAGGAGCAGGCAAGUCUCUUGCUGACUGCAGCCUCUUGUAGGUCAUUGCAGCACACGUGUGUCCCUCUCCUCUUAUGACUUUUGUUGAAAAUGGCUCAAGGUACAAAAAACUGAAGCUUCCUGUUGGGCUAGGAAUGGAUCAGUGUGGGUAAGGUAGCGUGGGCAGGAAGGCAUGCGAGCAUCUGGUUUGAAUAGCUCCACACAUGUAAGAUCAGCCAACUUUCUCUAGGUUUCACGGGUUUUGGGUUUUUAUCCCAGAGCAGUGGUGGACCCCACCCUUCCCUGCACCUCCCAGGAAGAUUGUGGGGAGCUCAUGGACAGGGGGUCAGCCCCUUCAAUUGCAGGGGCUACUGAUGUUAGAAAUAAACCCGAAAAGUUCGGAUGUGCUCCGGAAGGUCAAGUGUCUCCUGUGACACUCGGGAGGCAGGAGGACCUGGUGCCUUGAUGUGCUUCUGAUGGGAAAGCAACAUGUGAGAAGACAGGCAACCGAGCGGCCUGCAGGAUACACAUUCCUAAAUGUCACUUAGCCAUACAACCUGCGAGGGCGGAAGCGUGGGCAGAUGGAGAAAUAAUAUUUUCAUUGAAAAUUCUCUACCUCUAAAAUAUUUCCUGUCAGGUUCCUUCCAAGGAGGGCUGGAGCAAGGAAGGAGGGGGGCUGAGGUGGGAUGUGUGGCAGUGGAUACAAGUUUGUGAUUCCUCAAGCCUCUCCAUUUUGAGAGCAUUUGACUCAAUCCCCUUUCUUCUCCCCCUCCUUGAGAAAAGGAUCAUGCUAAAUAUUGCUGGAGCCGGAGGCAGUUUGGGAAGUGAAAUAAACACCUGACUGUUAAAUGCUAAAUGUUUACUCAACCAAAAAUAAAAAUAGUUCUGGUUUCCUCCACGACACUCUAGAGUUACGUUCACCAGUGCACAUGAGCUGGAGGUUUGCAAAGGGGGAGUCUUGGAAGGUUGAAACUCUUUGGAGGGGAGAAAUUUGGAGGCAGUAAGACAGGCCUCCCUCUGUCCUGUGAGUGCUCUUCUGCCAUGGAGAAAAUGCUGCAGCUGUUUGCCUGGUGCAACUUAAAAAUAAACUCCCUCCUCCUUUCCUCAUAUCAGUUUCAUGGGUGCCAUCCCAAACCCUAGAUGUCAAGUGCAAAGGGUCAGAGUCCAAGGGUGGGCACAGACCCCUCUGUGGGAUCUGAUGAACAGGAGGGAGAUGUGCCUUGAUGCCUCAGAAGAAAUCUCCAGGAGUUUGGAGCUGCAGUCACAGCAGCCUCUGGGUGCUCAGGAACUGCAAGUGCAAAUGGUGCAAGUGGCAAACCCUUCAGCUGGGCAGUGAGGAUGUGCCUGCGUGUGGAUCAUCCCAAGACAGCAGAGCAAAAAUUAUGGUGCAGACAGUGACAUUAGGAAUUCUCACUGGAAUGUUCUUUCCUGUAGCUCUCCCCAUCGAGUUGCAGACAUCACAUUGCAACGGGUGCAAAAUUAUUCUGCUUACACUUCACCUCCAAAAUCCAAGAUGGAAAAUGCUAUGUAUUACCAGAGAUAUUUAUUGGGCUUGAUUAUAUAUGACACAUGCAUUUGCAAUAUGUUUCCUUCAGUCAGGUCAUCCAUAGAUGGACUAGGAAAUAGCAUUUAACACGCAUGAAAUAGAGCAGAUUCCUUCCCUGAACGAUGACUACUUGCUGAUUCCCAAAGCUUGCCAACUUGUAAAGUAGCCCAGAAGGGCUAUAUAUGAACUAAGCCAUCCUUCAGUAGCUACUGCACUGUCUUAUGCAGACAUUCCCUUUCAGGUAGCAAAAUAGAUUAUGACAACUGGAGAAAAGGACACCCAUUUCACACAUAUUCAGAUGGGGGAGGAAAAUAGGGCGAUCAAUGGGAGUCCAAACCAGCAUCUCUAUUCAAGCCAACACCAAUUUCUUGCUGAAAGAAGUCCCCAUCUUUCCCUUUCUUAACUGAGAGGAAGCAAAUUCAUGGGGUCCUAAAUGAUUUAGGACUCCCACAUAAGUAAGCUGAAUUGGAAUUGCAAGACUCCCAAACUUGAAUUUGGUUCUGAGAACAAUUUCUUUGGAAGCCUAAAGAGCAAAACACCCAACCUGAGCUGAGGUAAAGGUGGAUUAGCAUGGAAUUACUGUUGCUAAAAUGAAAUUUGCUAUAGUUAACCAGAAAGUGUUAGGAUAAAAAAAAUUAUAGAACAAUUUGGGCAAAGAAAAACUAGAGCCACCUGUUUAAAGUUAGCCUUUAACCUAUUCCCUCUGCCUUCCCUUUUGCUUUCUCUCUCUUUCAAAUUUUCCCAGUAUCUCCUCUUUCCAUAGAAGCAAAUCUUCCCUAGGGAAAGUCAAUUCUGAAGGCAAUUUUCCAAAAACCAUUUGGCAGAAUUGGCCGGUGCUUCAACUGCAAACAUGAAAAGGCAUUUAUUCCACUAACUCAAAUGUAGUUUGGAAGAGACAUUACUGAACUUGUUUUAGGAAUAUACUUUGACUGCAUCAGUUUUAUUGCUUCUUGUAUAAAUGUCAAAGUCAAUUUGCCUUAAAGCAGAAAAAAAGUACAUGGUAAUGUAUAUAUUACAUACAAAAAAUGGGGGGGGGGAAAGUGUUGUCUCCAUGGUAAACUCAAGCCUAUUCCAUGUUAAUUGUGCUCAUCAGACGCACUCAGUACCUCAUCAGUGGUGAGAAGAAGGAGUGGGUGUGAUCCUGUUAUUGAAGACUGUGUGUGUAGUAUUGUUGUAAACUGGCCAGCUAAUAAAAGAUCCUGAAUUUCUAUUAAUUCUUA